RNAcentral lists this long non-coding RNA (557 nucleotides) under Mustela putorius furo (domestic ferret). RNAcentral describes it as "lncRNA (ENSMPUG00000024333.1)". The record is from RNAcentral. Lineage: Eukaryota; Metazoa; Chordata; Mammalia; Carnivora; Mustelidae.
CAGACAUGGGGUUAGUCAGGUUGCUGCUGCUGUACCCACUCCAGCAUUCCCAUGGCUUCACACAUAAAAAUUCUUUCUCACACAGGUCCAGUGGGUAUGGGCUCCGCUCCUCACAGCCUUGCAGGGACCAGGACCCUCCACCCCAGUCUCAUGAAGGCCUUAACAUCCUCGCCUGGGUCCUCUACAUCCAGCCAUUGGACAGGCGAGAAAGUGAGCCAAGAACAACUGAUUGACAUGAGAGAAGAUGGAAAUUUGAAAGUCAAUUUUGAACAAAACCUUUGCAUAAUUGGUGGAUGGCACUGAAAACUGAAAAAUGAAUGUCAAGACUUAAUGAGCGGAGCCCAAAAUGCACCCCACCCAUCUGGAUCCAGGUAUCUCUGUGAGGCCCCCUUUUCAGCUGUGACAGCCUUGAAACCUGAAUAUUAAAUAAACUGAAUUUAGUACCAUUCAAGUCACUGCUCUACAAAGUGUUAAACCAGGCUUUUCAAAAAUAAAGAAGCAUCUUCAAAGGCAUUGCUCUUGCUGUGAGAACAAAAAAAGGGAUUCUACACCAUGAU